Molecule: small nucleolar RNA, 130 nt
Organism: Malania oleifera
Lineage: Eukaryota; Viridiplantae; Streptophyta; Magnoliopsida; Santalales; Ximeniaceae
Product: small nucleolar RNA snoR77
Exons: 1
Source: RefSeq, a predicted model, not a curated record
AGGCAAUCUCCUUGCAAUGGUAGUGGGGGUGUUAAUAUGCUCGGAAAGUAAUGCCUUUUGCUCUUCAGACUUGCCAAGAUGGUUUACUCAUAUCUGUCCGUGAAGCUGGUCCAGUAUGCAUAAGAACAUU